Molecule: long non-coding RNA, 1807 nt
Organism: Gadus morhua (Atlantic cod)
Lineage: Eukaryota; Metazoa; Chordata; Actinopteri; Gadiformes; Gadidae
Exons: 7
Source: RefSeq, a predicted model, not a curated record
UGGUCCCUGGCAGCUGUUUUUGGAGUGCAGCUGAAAGAAAGAAAGAAAGAAACAAACCCGGUCAAGAAUUACCAACAUGGCGACGAUAAUUCCUACAAAUACUGAGUGAUGUAGUGGAUGGCUGGAAAGAAGAGAGGCAGCUUGAUGGACGAAGCGGCAGCUUCUGGUGCUACCGGCCUCACCAUCUCUCUCCUAAGCGCCCUCACUUCACUCCCCAGAUUGUCGUGCUGUUUUCCUUGGGGGGGGUGGUGCCUCGUCAUCAGUGUCCACACCUUGAAGCAUAUUUAACUCUAAAGGUCUGCACCUUCAAAAAAGUGUUGCGGCGGGCCCGUAGUGGUCUGGACUCUUCCAGCUGGCUCCUGCAGGUAGCGUGAGUUUGGCCUUUGGAACAAAUCAAGGACAGUCAUGGCAGUCAGUGGGUAACACCAGAAAUAUUAACAGAGAACAUAUACAUUUAUGCAUUUAGCAGAUGCUUUGAGCUGAAGCGAUUUACAACAAGAGGACUAACAUUUAAGCUACAACACUAUUUAAAACCUUGCUAAGAGUGCCAAAAAGUGCCACUAGUCACCCGAAAACUGUCUGAAGUUUAAGUGCAAUAGAAAGAUGGAAGAGAGUGCAUUGAAAGUUAAAAAGUGUUAGGACAAGAGUCAUUCUAGGAAGAACUGAGUUUUCAGGAGCUUUUCGAAGGUAGUGAGGGAUGAUAAGUUGCCUGUGGAUGGUUCAGAGAACUGCCUGCUAUUAGCAGCCACUUUGUCAGUAAAGAAUGAAGCAUAAGGUUCUGCUGUGAGGUUUGUAGCAAGAGGGGAAAGGUUUAGUAGAUAUUUGAAAGUAGAGAACAGUUUCCGGGUGUCAGUUGUAUUGUGAAUCUCAGUUGUAAUGUGAAUUUUUCGCUGCUGUGACAUUGUAAGCAAAAGAUGAUAAUAGUUACUGGUAUUGUGUUAAAUCUGAUAGGUUAUUAGUUUUAUGCCAUUCUCUCUCAGCAGCCCAUGAGGUUAGAGCGCAUCGAUUGAAGGGAGUCGUUUAUCCAAGGAAGGGGCUUAGAGGGUUGGGAGGGUCUGAUGGAUAGCGGGAAUGUGUGGCCCAAUUCACCUCUGGAGAGGAGAACAUUUUUUGUUUUUUUACCUUUUUUUCCUUCUGAUAGGGUCUUCAGCCUCUGACUGUAUGUCUGAUGUUAAACACACUAACCAAGACCCUCACGUCACCGUGCACGUCCCACGCUGCACCUGGAGGAAGGUGGUGCGCGACUGCCUUCUGGAGGCGGUUAUGAUCGUAAGAACUAGGAGGCCAGAAACAAUUCCAUGACUCCCCUGCCUCCUCCAACCAGCUGCUUGGCACUAUGAAGACAAGGAAUUAGGAUUGGUGAAGAAGAGGGAUGGCAACAUAAUGGUUUUGGUCUGGAAAAAGCACACAUUUUCUGCUGACAUCCCCAAGGAGCUCAACCUCAAGAUCAUCUACCAACGUAUGGACCUGAAAACAGCCUAUUCGAGAGGAGGGGCAGGGAUAUGUGAAAUGGGAUUCCUUGUACCCAAAUCGUCUGUAGAUGAUGAAGACUGAACCAGAGGAUAGCACAAUGUUUUGGACCAGUCCAAUAUCCUGUCCUACUGCUAUGCAGUUGUUCCCAGUCUUUGUUGACAGGCAGAAAUCUGUUGUUACUACCUUUCUGUACUGUUUGGCAGUACUGAAUUGCAGAGGCAAAGGACCAUCCUUGUGCAUUUCGUACAAAAGGGGCUGCUUACUUGGAGGUGGAGUAACAGUUUGAGGCACCUCUGACAGUCUCUUGACUACCUGUUGUAAUGGUAGUUGAGGC